AUGUUUGACUUCUCUGACGAUGAAAGAUGGAGUAAGAUUCACAAAACAAGGCCUACUUUCACUAAUUAAUUGUGGAUCUUUGGAUCAUCUGGAGGAGUUGAACCUCAUGGGCACCAGUUGCUUUGAUAUGGGAUGUUAUAUGCAGUUAAAGCAGCGUUGUUCAAAUGUAAGGAUAUAUGGCAACAUAUCCUCAUAACAGUGGUUGACCUGACUCCAUCAAUGAUAACUGCAGGUAGAAAACUGGCUCUAAAACUGGCUUUCAAGUACAUUCCAAGGAGGUGUUUCUCAUGUUCUUGUGUGUUUGUAACCAUAUAAAACUUAACAUUGCUUACCAUGACUGGUCAAAGUUUUUAUGAAUAUGAAUUAAUCAUGCUGUGUAAACAAAACUGCCUACCUGAAUUCUACAAUAUUCAUGUGAUAAUUUCCAGACCAAACGUACAAGAGUCUUCAACACUCAAAGCUCCUAGGGUGGUUUGCACCUCGGACUGUUACCAAGGUUGGAAUGGAGCGUAACAGAGUCGGCAAA
Long non-coding RNA from Saccostrea cuccullata (small rock oyster), 526 nucleotides. RefSeq lists it as uncharacterized. Lineage: Eukaryota; Metazoa; Mollusca; Bivalvia; Ostreida; Ostreidae. The record is from RefSeq and is a predicted model, not a curated record. The transcript is spliced from 3 exons.